Molecule: ribosomal RNA, 468 nt
Filed under: uncultured bacterium
Lineage: Bacteria
Description: partial 16S ribosomal RNA
Rfam family: Bacterial small subunit ribosomal RNA
Source: RNAcentral
GACGAACGCUGGCGGCGUGCUUAACACAUGCAAGUCGAACGGAAAGGCCCUGCUUUUGUGGGGUGCCCGAGUGGCGAACGGGUGAGUAACACGUGAGUAACCUGCCCUUGACUUUGGGAUAACUUCAGGAAACUGGGGCUAAUACCGGAUAGGAGCUCCCGCUGCAUGGUGGGGGUUGGAAAGUUUCGGCGGUUGGGGAUGGACUCGCGGCUUAUCAGCUUGUUGGUGGGGUAGUGGCUUACCAAGGCGUUGACGGGUAGCCGGCCUGAGAGGGUGACCGGCCACAUUGGGACUGAGAUGCGGCCCAGACUCCUACGGGAGGCAGCAGUGGGGAAUAUUGCACGAUGGGCGGAAGCCUGAUGCAGCAACGCCGCGUGCGGGAUGACGGCCUUCGGGUUGUAAACCGCUUGCGCCUGUGACGAAGCGUGAGUGACGGUAAUGGGUAAAGAAGCACCGGCUAACUACGUG